GUAGGUGGCAAGCGUUGUCCGGAAUUAUAGGGCGUAAAGCGCGCGCAGGCGGUUCUUUAAGUCUGAUGUGAAAGCCCACGGCUCAACCGUGGAGGGUCAUUGGAAACUGGAGAACUUGAGUACAGAAGAGGAAAGCGGAAUUCCACGUGUAGCGGUGAAAUGCGUAGAGAUGUGGAGGAACACCAGUGGCGAAGGCGGCUUUCUGGUCUGUAACUGACGCUGAGGCGCGAAAGCGUGGGGAGCAAACAGGAUUAGAUACCCUGGUAGUCCACGCCGUAAACGAUGAGUGUUAAGUGUUAGGGGGGUUUCCGGUCCCCCCUUAGUGCUGCAGCUAACGCAUUAAGCACUCCGCCUGGGGAGUACGGCCGCAAGGCUG
Molecule: ribosomal RNA, 376 nt
Filed under: uncultured organism
Description: partial 16S ribosomal RNA
Rfam family: Bacterial small subunit ribosomal RNA
Source: RNAcentral